UACGUAGGGUGCAAGCGUUGUCCGGAAUUAUUGGGCGUAAAGAGCUCGUAGGCGGUUUGUUGCGUCUAUCGUGAAAACCUGCGGCUUAACUGUGGGCUUGCGGUGGAUACGGGCAGACUUGAGUUCGGUAGGGGAGACUGGAAUUCCUGGUGUAGCGGUGAAAUGCGCAGAUAUCAGGAGGAACACCGGUGGCGAAGGCGGGUCUCUGGGCCGAUACUGACGCUGAGGAGCGAAAGCGUGGGGAGCGAACAGG
RNAcentral lists this ribosomal RNA (253 nucleotides) under uncultured bacterium. Its description in RNAcentral is "partial 16S ribosomal RNA". It matches the Rfam family "Bacterial small subunit ribosomal RNA", at positions 524 to 776 of the family's 1533-position model. The record is from RNAcentral.